CGGGAAUAUUGCGCAAUGGAGGAAACUCUGACGCAGUGACGCCGCGUAUAGGAAGAAGGUUUUCGGAUUGUAAACUAUUGUCGUUAGGGAAGAUACAAGACAGUACCUAAGGAGGAAGCUCCGGCUAACUACGUGCCAGCAGCCGCGGUAAUACGUAGGGAGCAAGCGUUAUCCGGAUUUAUUGGGUGUAAAGGGUGCGUAGACGGGAAAGCAAGUUAGUUGUGAAAUCCCUCGGCUUAACUGAGGAACUGCAACUAAAACUACUUUUCUUGAGUGUUGGAGAGGAAAGUGGAAUUCCUAGUGUAGCGGUGAAAUGCGUAGAUAUUAGGAGGAACACCGGUGGCGAAGGCGACUUUCUGGACAAUAACUGACGUUGAGGCACGAAAGUGUGGGGAGCAAACAGGAUUAGAUACCCUGGUAGUCCACACCGUAAACGAUGGAUACUAGGUGUAGGGAACAUUAAGUUUUCUGUGCCGUCGCAAACGCAAUAAGUAUCCCACCUGGGGAGUACGGCCGCAAGGUUGAAACUCAAAGGAAUUGACGGGGGCCCGCACAAGCAGUGGAGUAUGUGGUUUAAUUCGACGCAACGCGAAGAACCUUACCAGGGCUUGACAUACAGAUGAAUAUACUAGAGAUAGUAUAGCUCUUCGGAGCAUCUGUACAGGUGGUGCAUGGUUGUCGUCAGCUCGUGUCGUGAGAUGUUAGGUUAAGUCCUGCAACGAGCGCAACCCCUGUGAUUAGUUGCCAACAGGUAAAGCUGGGAACUCUAAUCAGACUGCCGGUGAUAAAUCGGAGGAAGGUGGGGAUGACGUCAAAUCAUCAUGCCCUUUAUGUCCUGGGCUACACACGUACUACAAUGGCUGUAACAGAGAGAAGCAAAACAGUGAUGUUGAGCAAAACUUUAAAAAGCAGUCUCAGUUCGGAUUGAAGGCUGAAAUUCGCCUUCAUGAAGCCGGAAUUGCUAGUAAUGGCAGGUCAGCAUACUGCCGUGAAUACGUUCCCG
Molecule: ribosomal RNA, 1003 nt
Filed under: uncultured bacterium
Lineage: Bacteria
Description: bacterial SSU rRNA
Rfam family: Bacterial small subunit ribosomal RNA
Source: RNAcentral